CAUGAAAACUAGAUUUAUAUAGUAUGUCAAAAAUGGCAAUAGUGGGCGCCUGGCUAGCUCAGUUCGUACAGCGGGCGCCCAUGUAUGGCUAAGGCUGAGUCUUAGCCGCGGUCGACCCGGGUUCGAAUCCGGACCUGUGGACCUUUGCCGCAUCUCUCUCUCUCUGUUUCCCCUCAUUCCAUGACUCUUAGUCACCAAAAAAAAAAAAAGGUCUAUAGCAUGUUAGGUAUGUUAGGAAUGUUAGCUUAGUAUAGUGCGUGAUGAAAAAAAUAGUGCGUGAUGAAAAGAUUUCGUGAUAAGUCAGGAUGUUAGCAGUGGACUUUUCACCAUCAUUUGAAAAGUAAAUGGUUACGUCACAAUAUAUAGUUUCAGUGCCUUGCUUUUGGCACACUUCAGCACAGUGGAAGCUUGAGAGUAAAACCAGGUCUUCUGGUUCAGGGCCAGUCUCCCAAAUCACUGUACCAACCUGCUGUAUGGAGUAUAAUCAUUUGCAUUGAACACAAUUGUAUGAAUCAUAAAUCUUUAAUAAAUAAAUAAAAUUAAAUGUUAUCAGAUCUCAA
This is a long non-coding RNA of Sebastes umbrosus (honeycomb rockfish), 560 nucleotides long. RefSeq lists it as uncharacterized. NCBI's taxonomy places the organism in Eukaryota, Metazoa, Chordata, Actinopteri, Perciformes, Sebastidae. The record is from RefSeq and is a predicted model, not a curated record. The transcript has 3 exons.